RNAcentral lists this unclassified non-coding RNA (1534 nucleotides) under uncultured fungus. RNAcentral's name for it is "sequence contains 18S rRNA gene, ITS1, 5.8S rRNA gene, ITS2, 28S rRNA gene". The stretch from base 434 to 1534 matches the Rfam family "Eukaryotic large subunit ribosomal RNA", at positions 1 to 961 of the family's 3401-position model. Lineage: Eukaryota; Fungi. The record is from RNAcentral.
UAACAUAUUAUGAAUAUACUUAAUUCAAAAUAUAACUUUCAACAACGGAUCUCUUGGCUCUCGCAUCGAUGAAGAACGCAGCGAAAUGCGAUACGUAAUGUGAAUUGCAGAAUUCAGUGAAUCAUCGAAUCUUUGAACGCAUAUUGCGCUCUUUGGUAUUCCGAAGAGCAUGCUUGUUUGAGUAUCAGUAAACACCUCAACCUCUCUUUUUUGAUAAAAAAAGGGAGGGUGGACUUGAGCUAUCCCAACGACCUUCACCGGUAGGCGGGCGGCUUGAAAUGCAGGUGCAGCUGGACUUUUAUCUGAGCUAAAAGCAUAUCUAUUUAGUCCUCGUCAAACAGGAUUAUUACUUUUGCUGCAGCUAACAUAAAGGAUAAUUGUCCUCUUUGCUGACUGAUGCAGGAUUUUACGACACUUUAUGUGUUGUUCAACUCGAUCUCAAAUCAAGUAAGACUACCCGCUGAACUUAAGCAUAUCAAUAAGCGGAGGAAAAGAAACUAACAAGGAUUCCCCUAGUAACGGCGAGUGAAGCGGGAUGAGCUCAAAUUUGAAAUCUGGCUGGUUUACUAGUCCGAGUUGUAAUUUAAAGAAGCGUUUUCGGUGGCAGCCUGGGUAUAAAUCCUUUGGAAUAGGGUAUCAUAGAGGGUGAGAAUCCCGUCUUUGACCUAGUGCAUGCUACUAUGUGAUACGUUUUCAAAGAGUCGAGUUGUUUGGGAAUGCAGCUCAAAAUGGGUGGUAAAUUUCAUCUAAAGCUAAAUAUUGGCGAGAGACCGAUAGCGAACAAGUACCGUGAGGGAAAGAUGAAAAGAACUUUGAAAAGAGAGUUAAACAGUGCGUGAAAUUGUUGAAAGGGAAACGUUUGACACCAGUCAUGUGGGUGGAAAAUCAGUCUUUUGCAUUGGGGAGUUGUAAGGGUUCGGACCGCAAGGCCGGCUUUUGCUUCAUCUUUGGUGUAAGUGAUGCACUUUUUCAUCUACAGGUCAACAUCAGUUUCUUUUGCUGGACAAAACUCCGAGAGAAGGUAGCAGCUUAGGCUGUGUUAUAGCUCUGGAGCGAUACAGUGAAGGGGACUGAGGUUUUCGCAGCGUGUGCUCUCGGGCAAGGCUGGAUGGGUGCUAUGGGAUCGUUCGGGGUACAAUGCCUGGCAUUUUGCUUCGUGUCUUUUCUAUACUCGCUCAACUCAGCUCUUCCACGCUUAGGAUGUUGACUUAAUGGUUUUAAACGACCCGUCUUGAAACACGGACCAAGGAGUCUAACAUAUAUGCAAGUGUUUGGGUGGCAAACCCAUGCGCGUAAUGAAAGUGAACGUAGGUGCGAUCCGCAAGGUGCAGCAUCGACCGAUCUUGAUAUUUUUGGAUAGAUUUGAGUAAGAGCAUAUAUGCUGGGACCCGAAAGAUGGUGAACUAUGCCUGAAUAGGGUGAAGCCAGAGGAAACUCUGGUGGAGGCUCGUAGCGAUUCUGACGUGCAAAUCGAUCGUCAAAUUUGGGUAUAGGGGCGAAAGACUAAUCGAACCAUCUAGUAGCUGGUUCCUGC